RNAcentral lists this small RNA (1132 nucleotides) under Pan troglodytes (chimpanzee). Its description in RNAcentral is "retained intron". The record is from RNAcentral. Lineage: Eukaryota; Metazoa; Chordata; Mammalia; Primates; Hominidae.
UUCCUGCGCGGCCUCUUAACGCUGCUGCUGCCGCCGCCACCCCUCUAUACCCGGCACCGCAUGCUCGGUCCAGAGUCCGUCCCGCCCCCAAAACGAUCCCGCAGCAAACUCAUGGCACCGCCCCGAAUCGGGACGCACAAUGGCACCUUCCACUGCGACGAGGCACUGGCAUGCGCACUGCUUCGCCUCCUGCCGGAGUACCGGGAUGCAGAGAUUGUGCGGACCCGGGAUCCCGAAAAACUCGCUUCCUGUGACAUCGUGGUGGACGUGGGGGGCGAGUACGACCCUCGGAGACACCGAUAUGACCAUCACCAGAGGUCUUUCACAGAGACCAUGAGCUCCCUGUCCCCUGGGAAGCCGUGGCAGACCAAGCUGAGCAGUGCGGGACUCAUCUAUCUGCACUUCGGGCACAAGCUGCUGGCCCAGUUGCUGGGCACUAGUGAAGAGGACAGCAUGGUGGGCACCCUCUAUGACAAGGUGGGGACCUGAGGACAGAGAUGCCCCCCACAUGCAUUUCCAGCAGGCCGCCUGGGAGCAGUGCUCACACAGCACUCAGCACUGGGCCUCGGGUCAGGGUUCCUGGCCUAUAGCAGGCCCAACACUCAUCCUCUCCCUCAGUCAGGCUCAUCUCACAAGGGAAUGGUGAUACCUCCCCUGUCUACAUCCUGGGGUGGUUGUGAGAAGUGGAUGCUGUAAUAUAUGGGGAAGGGCUUUGAAAACCAUAAAGCAGCAUGGCCCUGUCUUUUUAUUGACACACACAAACAGCAAUUGCUCAGCACCUUUGGGUAAACAGAGGGGAGGCUGCUUAUGUGUGGAAGCAGAUGGCUCAGAGGUUCUGGCUGCCCUGAAGGUUGAGGGGAGUGUAUGUUAGGCACCACUGUAGUUCACUAGUGGCACAUAAAUUGGGAAGCUCAGCUGAGAAGAGUUUUAUUAUGAAACUGUCUUUGGAUUCCACCAGUGUCCCCUGCAAGCAGCUUCCUGCUCUUAGGGAAGGAAUAUGGCUAGUGGCCCUGGCAUGCAAGUCAGGUCGCACAGUACUGAGGACACUUACUUGUUUACAAGUCAAAGCCCAGGUUCAGUCAGCUGUAUUUCUUGCAGGUAGGCUGUUGAAUUCAGUUCUCAGUUUUUUUGU